ACUUUUAAAAAUAUUUAGAUCCAUAGUACAUCUGGAAUUAUUUUGCAAAAGGUAGUAUAUAAAUCACGAUUCAAUUUCCUCACAUAAGCAUCCAAUUGGUGAAGAAUUAAGUUUUGAAAGUCUAUACUUCCUGUUGCAUUUCAAUUUUACCUUUGCCACAAAAGAAGUAAACAUGUAUGCGCAUGUGUUACACUGACUUUUCAGUUUGAAAUGCAUUGUUUUCAUUUUUAAAAGGUCUACUAGUUUCUUUUUCAAAUAGGCUUUUUAUCAUAUUUAUCAAAUUGAAGCCUAUAUUUCUAUAAAUGUUACUUGAAAUAUUCAAAAUACACUUCUCAACAUUUACUUCAGGCUCUUGGGUCACAAAUUCAAUUUGUUGUGUCUGCUAUUCCCCUCAUAGUUUGAAUUCUUCAAUGUGAGCUUAUUUUCAAUAAGCAUUGUGUGUGUGUGUGUGUGUGUGUGUGUGUGAAGUCACACACACCAUGAGCUCUGGUUUAACACAUGAAAGUUUAUUUUUCUCUCAUGCUUGGUGUGCAGCUGCCUUCAAGCAGUGAUUCAGCAAUCCAGCUGUUUCCAUCUAGUGGCUGAACUGACUCAAGACGUAGCUGCCACUGUCACUGAGGAACGAGAAGAGAAACCAGGAGAUCCCACAUCUUCUGUGCUUCAGCUCAGAAGCGACUGCUGUCACUUGUAGUCCAUUGCCUACAACAGUCACAUGAUCCUAGCUAAUGGCCCAUGACUUGAAAUAUCGAGGAGCACGUGGGAAUAUGGAGAGCACAAAGUGGCUAUGCUCUUCUGACUACCAAAUAUCCUUUCACCCUCUUUGUGCCUGACACAGGACGCACUCAAGCUCUCCUCUCCUCAGGGAAGCAACGUGAAGGCCCAUGCGAUCAUUUCCCCAAUUCAAACUCCGUCAGAUCCAGACCCCUCCACGCAAACACAAAUAUCUGCCCCUACCUCCUACACAGUGUAGAAAACCAGCAGGAUAAUUUCAGUGAAUGCAGUCAUUCAGAAAGGGGGAAAAGGAAGCCACACAGCAGUCGUGGAUCCACAGCAAUUCUCAAAUGGCACCGGGCAGAUGUUGUGAGGUGCCCCACAGUGGGAAUGAGAACCCCUUGAUUAUUUUAUUAUGUCUUCAGGAAGGUUGUAUUAUAUCAGGUCCUUGGAAAGCUACCUCUCCAGUGAGUGACAUCUCCCUACUCCCGUGUGAUGGAUUCCUCUCAUGUGUUUGUUUUAUUUGUGAGCUGAUCAUCAGUAGAGAUGUGUGUGUGUGUGUGUGUGUGUGUGUGUGUGUGAGAGAGAGAGAGAGUGACUGUGUGACUCAGUCACUCAUACCAUGAAUUGUGAAAAUGCUUUUGCCAAGUGCUUCAGGGGAUUCAUCAGCCCUAGACUACUUUCUUUUUAACCUCAACUUCUCAGUUAGCAAUUUUUCUGCCAUGCAAGUGGUAUAAAUUUACACUUGUAGUUACCUAAGCACAAGUCGAAGGUUUAAUUUUUCAUUGGAAAUUUCUGUCUUCUCUGAGCCAUAGGGCGUUCAGCUAAGGACUUUAUGUCCUUAACAAUCUCAUUUUCCAACUCUCUUCCCCAGAGGUAACUGCAGUCCUGAAAAUGGCCUGUAUCUUUUUCAGUAAUGUACUUAUAAUUUUAUUGCUUAUAUAUGUGUCUAAAAAUUCAUAUGUAGUAUUGAUCUGUAGCUUAAAAGUUGUACUAAUGGAAACACUUUGUGGUUAUUUUCUGCAACUUGUUUUUUUGCUGUAAACAGUUCAUGGAAAAUGCUUAUUAUGAAAAGACUAUGCAUGCAUUUCAGAAAAGUUUCUGGCACCAAAAUAAGGUUAUUUUUGAAUCCCAUUUUCCAUGAACUUUUUCAAGUACUCUCAUACAGGACUUUGGCUUGUGGUCUACCAGUUGUCCUUUGAACUUGCUAUGCUGUUUUAAAACUAAAGAUCUUUAUUGAUGACCCUUUCCAAUACAAAAUAUUUAUCCCCUCCUCUUAAUUUUUUGUGACCGUAGAGAUCCUGCCUCUUUGAUAAAGUAUCUCAAGCUCAUGGAGCUUAUUUCUUCUAUGCUCAAAGUACUUUGUACUACUUUGGAUGGGAACUUACAGUUUCCCAUCUUAAGUGUUGGUUCCUACACAUCACUAACUGGACCACAUGCUCUUUGAGGUCAGGUCGAUGUCCAGACUUCUUUAUCUCUCUUGGACUUAAGUAGAAUGACCUUAUCCAGUAGGAAUUAGUCCUUUUUUUUUUUUUUUGACAUUCUGUGAGAAUUUGCAAGCCAAGAGAGAUGAUCUUCAUAAUAAUAAGGACAAAAAGGAAGGGUGGGGAAGGAGGACCAAGGGCUACCUACUAUACACAGCACACUGGUAUGAAGUUGGAGUCAUUCUUACACACAUUUUAUAUCCAAGGAUACUGAGUUUUUAAGUUUUAUUUACUUACAUUUUAAUUAGUUGAAAAGAAGAGUGACAGUGACAGUGACAGCAAGAGCAAAGGAGAGAGCUCUUCCACCUUCUGGUUCAUGCCCCAAAUGCCCACCACAGCCAGGACUGGGCCAGGCAAAAUCCAGGGAACUAGAACUCCAUCCAGGUCUCCCAGGUGAAUGGCAGUGUUAAGACAGCUAGGUAGAUAUUAGCCAUUGUGUUAAGAGGGGUGAAAGAUAAUGAGAAGUUUUAAAGAAGUAAAUUUAUGUGCAAUGGAAAGAGGAAGCAAGUCCUGAAAGUGGGACCCAGCCUCUUGUCUCUCUCCCCUAGACAAGGGUGUCCUUGUCUGUCCUUUAUCAAAGGAAUUCACUGAGUGAUACAGCUUGCCCUCCCGGACUGAAGGAGUCAUUUGCUUCUCCAAUAGUUAAGAACCCUGAUGGCCAGUGUUGUCUGGAAGGGUUUGUUUAGGGGAAUUCCACAUCCAAAAAUCCCUCACCCGGACUUUCCCAGAAGAGGAGGAUGCAAGAAACGGGGACCCAUACUCAUGUCCAUAAAAACCCCAGUCUGAAUGCAAACUCUCAACCCUUUGCUGAGAUGCCUACCUGGUCUGUCAGGUGUAGCAAUUUCUGUCUCUUCCUUUUUUCCAAUAAACUAUGCUAAAAUCACUUUUUCAUCUGCUCAUUCAUGGGCCACAGAUUUCACCAUCCAUAGAAAAAGUUCUUGGGGUUCAAAUCACAGCAGGGACCCAACUACUUGUACCAUCAUCACUCAUUGCCUCUGAGGAUACACAUUGGCAAGAAGCUGGAUUGGAAGUACGGCAGGGGCUCAAACGCAGGCACUCCAAUGGGGGAAGCAGAGUCUUACCUUGUGUGCCACACACCGGCUCUGAGAACCUAAAUAACUUCCCCAACAGAGUUCACGGCUAUGAAAGCUGGAACACCAGUCCCUCCAUCCCUGAUUCUGAGUCUUAAGAGCUUAAGCAGAAAGAGAGAUGGAAGCACAGGUCUGAACAAUUCAACAUGGUUGAGGAGAUCGGUGAAAGAAGCCAUGCAAGUCUUGCCUGUAGUCAGGAACAGGAAGUGGUAUUCCUUCUGGCAGACAGAAGUCUAAGUUGUAGUUAACAAGUAAAGUAGAUGGCCUCUGCUAGAAAGAGUGGUCUCAGAUGGGUCUGAGAGAGAAAAGGAUGCCUGAGACAAGAGCCCAGCAAUUCAGUUGAUGAUGGACAUGUGCGAUACAGGACCCAACACGAUUUGUGUAAGAUUCUGUCUCAGUCCCCAGUGUGCAUCACCAAGCUCCAGCCAAGUCCAGGGCACUGGGAAGAGACCUGGAACAAAGGGGCAAGGGCAUUGGACUCUCCCACGCCUCUUUACCACUUGGCUUCCUGCUGUUUUGAUUAUUCAGGGCUUCUCUCUCAUGUAACCAAUCCACAGAGAACAUGAAGCCCUCCAGAACCUAUUUCUGUUCUUCAACUGACCCCUUACAACACCCAAACUCUUGGCCAGCCUGUCAGUCUGAUACCAUGCCUGUCCCAGCAAUCAUGCCUGCUCAGCAUUCCCACACAUGCGUAUCAUUUUCCAGAAUGGAGUGUGGAAAAUGAUAUUUUUCUUCUGCCAUGAUAACAUCCCCAAAAUUAGGGGAGGAAAAAAAAAUCCAGGAACUGAUAUUUUACAAGGUCAUGUUUCAUGUUCUUGGGCUCGAUACAGCCCAGGAUCUGAGGAUUUGUUGGCUAAGAGGACAACAGGGACACCGGGGGGAUUGGUGUUGGGAGGUGGUACCUGGCAGGGUCUGCGUCCUUGGAGUUUGGCAACUCCUGCAGAGUCUCCCUAAGUGGGAAAAUAUAAAACUGUGCAGAGGAAUGGUAUAACAUCCUGCCGGUCCAUGAGGAUUUGUCAGAUCAACAAAGGCUAAUUCUGAGUGUUCCCUGCUGUGCUUCCUAACGCCCUGAGACACUCGGCUGAAUUAUCUAUUAAGAAUAUUUUCCUAAGUCGUUUGUGUUAGAUUAUAGGCUAUAAACUGCUUAUUGUUGCCUGUCUGCCAUAAAUACAAAGCAAUCAUUUUUAAUGCAAGCAGCUGUUGGGCUGGCUUCCCCAAGAUGCUUUGCCCAGGGACGUGCAUUCUGCUGCUUUCUCCUUCAUCAAGUGCAUUUCUGAUUGUUUUUCUGCUCCACUGCAUACCACACACGUGGUGGUGGUGGGGGUAUAAAUUUUCCUUGCCUUGCUUUGUUUGGAUACAGGAUUUCCAAAAAUAUCCAAAAGGAACUGAAGGUGCUGGGGGGAAAAUUAAGUUAUGUGAAAUCCGAAGACUCAAGUCCCCAUCACAGCCUCUAUAUUUUAAAAAUGACCUUGAAACGCCAACCCAUUUUCUGAUUGCCAACAAUAAAAUAUUUGAUUUUGAAUUAAAUUUAUUGAAGAUAUAUUCAUAUAUAUUUAUUCAAUAUAUGCUUAUUGAAUAUGGCUAUUUUAGAUUAUGUUAAUUUGGGUUUUAAGCUUAUAUUACAAAUAUAUUUAUUACUCCAAAAUUCUUUUUUAAAGAUUAAUUUACUUAUCUAUUUGAAGGAUAGAGUGGGAGUGAUAGAAAGAGAGAGAGACAGAGAUCUUCCAUCUGCUGGUUUACUUCCCAAAUCAUACAACAUCCAGGCCCAGGCCAGGCCAAAGCCAGGAGCCAGGAGCUCUGUCCUGUUCUCUCACAUGGAUGUCAGGGGUCCAAGUCCUUGGGCUAUCAUCCUCUAGAUUCAUUACUCAUUAUUCAUUAUCAGGAAGCUAGAUUGGAAGUGAGGCAGCCAGGACUUGAACCAGUACUCUGAUAGGGGAUGCCAAUGUCACAAGAAGUGGCUUAACUCAUGGUACCACAACAGUGGCCCCUACUCAACAAUUCAUUAUUGAGGGUCUACAAAGUAGUACAAUACCAUGCUAGAUACAGGGUAUCUAAAAGUGAGCCUAAUUGAUUUGUUGCCUGCUUUUCUAUUCCUUGGAGUCUAGUAGAGACAGACUGAUCAAAAACAGAUAGCCUCUGACUUAGAGUGGUUCAACUUGUUUUUCAUCUUUGCAAUGGUGUGUAUCUAUAUUGCUGUAUAGAUUUGGUAGAAAUUGUACUUCAAAUUUUGACUUUUGAUCUUUUCCCAGGCUAAGGAUACAAAAUAACCAUUUUUUUUUCACAUUCAGUACAGUACUCGAUAAAUUCCAUGAGAUAUUCCACAUGCUAUUAUACAGUAAUCUUUGUGGUGGUAAUUUUGCAGUAGACUUCAUGUUUGAAGGCUUUUUUGUUCGAAGAUCAAAGCUUCAUGUUCGAAGAUUUUUGUCCUACUGUAGGCUAGUGUAAGUGUUUUGAGUAUGUUUAAGGUAGGCUAGGCUGAGCUACAAGGAAACUUUGAACAGUUAAUGGCAAAUCUAUAUGUUAAAAGCUACACACGGGGCCAGCACUGCGGCUCACUAGGCUAAUCCUUUGCCUGCAGUGCCGGUACCCUGGGUUCUAGUCCCGGUCAGGGCGCCAGAUUCUGUCCUGGUUGCUCCUCUUCCAGUCCAGCUCUCUGCUGUGGCCCGGGAAGGUAGUGGAGGAUGGCCCAUGUGCUUGGGCCCUGCACCUGCAUGGGAGACCAGGAGGAAGCACCUGGCUCCUGGCUUUGGAUGGGCACAGCAUGCCGGCCGUAGGGGCCAUUUGGGGGGUGAACCAACGGAAAAGGAAGACCUUUCUCUCUGUCUCUCUCUCUCUCUCACACUGUUUAACUCUGCCUGUCAAAAAAAAAAAAAAAAAAGCUACACACAGAUUUCAAAAUGUUUUACACCAAAACAAACUUUUCUUUUAAUUCCAUUUUCCCAUGAACUUUUUGAAGUUCCCUCAUGUACUGUUCAGCAGGUUAGGUAGAUUAAAUGAAUUUUGGAUGUAGGAUAUUUUCACAAUGGAUUUUGUGACAGUAACCCCAUUCUAAGUCAAGGAACUUCUGUAAUUACAUACAUUGUGACAUGGGAACAAAGGAAAAUUUCAGGAACUAAUGGUAUGCCUCAUCUGGUGAUUGGUAAAGAACUUUCCAAGGCACAUCCACUCUAAGCUCCCAAGAAGCAACAGGAAGACACCAGGGGAACUGGAGCCAGGACACGGUGGUGGGAGGUGCCCAGAGGGGUUGUGAUCAUGGACAGUCACGGCCAGUCAUGGAACUGUAGCACCCAAGUGGGAGGAAACACUCCUUAGAUUGGCUGAACUCAAAGAGAAGCCUGAGAUCAAGAGAAACCCAUUGACAUCAGCACCCCCGACCCUCACCCAGCUGGGGUCUAAAGCCGGGCAGAGAUGAACAGCAGUGCGAUGGAGAGGCACAUGGAGAAUAACCAGCACAGAAAGGAGUGGCAUUAUCAGUGAUCUGCAUAAAAUCAUACUGCAUCCAUCAGAGAAGGAAAUGCUGUGAUUUCAGGCAGUGCUGAUUGAGGAUGAGAGUUUGUGUUCGCCACCGGAAGCAGAGAGCAAAUGUGGAUGAUGGAAAGUCAGGGGUGACGGAGGGAAUCUGUACCAUACCAUCAACUAUCCCACCCCGCAGGCUUUUAAUAAAGGCUUGAAGGUAUCGCUGCUGAGUGGAGAUUUCCUUUCUACAUUUUGGGAUUUAACCAGCCUUGCAAAGCUGGUGCCAUGGAAGACCCUGGAGACAGACAGAGCCUCAACCUCCAGGAACCAAUCAUCUAGAAUCACUGCAGGACCACAGAAAAAACAGAACUGUGGAUUGCACUUACAUGGGGAUGCUCAGCAUGAAAUGAACUUUUGGAGUGAAUCUAAAACCAUCAGUCACAUGAUCCUUGCAACCAAGCUGCCUCUAGGACACACCGUUUAUUGCGCUGGCCUCUCCAAACCGUCUCUCAUACAACAGGCACCUCAUGCUGCAACCAUCUGCUCACCUGGCCUAUUGGUUCAAGGAGACAGAAAACACCCAAAAGGAUCAUUUCCACCUGAACCAAGCAGCCUCCUUCCAGUCUAACUACUGCAUCUUCUGAAUCCGGUCUGUAAGGUAGAACCACUUGAAGCAUAUUUUUUAAAAAGAUCUGAGCCCCGCCGGCGCCGCAGCUCACUAGGCUAAUCCUCCACCUUGCAGCACCGGCACACCGGGUUCUAGUCCCGGUCGGGGUGCCGGAUUUUGUCCCGGUUGCCCCUCUUCCAGGCCAGCUCUCUGCUGUGGCCAGGGAGUGCAGUGGAGGAUGACCCAAGUGCUUGGGCCCUGCACCCCAUGGGAGACCAGGAGAAACACCUGGCUCCUGCCAUCGGAUCAGCGCAGUGCGCCGGCCGUGGCAGCCAUUGGAGGGUGAACCAAAGGCAAAGGAAGACCUUUCUCUCUGUCUCUCUCUCUCACUGUCCACUCUGCCUGUCAAAAAAAAAAAAAAAAAAAAAAAAAAGAUCUGAGCCCCGAUUCUACCACAGUACAAUUAGGUUAGACUCCCUGCAAAUAGGGCCAUCAUUCUUUGAUCAAAGCUCUCCAUCUGAUUCCUUUAUGAGGUCAGGGUUGACAGUCAGUGAUAAACAAGUUUAAUAAUUCUUCUGCGUGGUCAGGUGUACUGCCGUACUGCUCUGGUCACUAUGAAAGGUAUCUUGGCAUAAGAAGAAGUAUCAUCACAACAGCUUGAAAGGAACCCAGCUUUGGAGUUUUGGGGUCAAAUUAUGGACACCAUAUAAUUUCAGGGAGUGUGUCUAUAGGGUUCUAAGUGGCAGAACAGAGAUAAAUGAGACCAGAGUCUGGCUUGAAGUCAAAGAGGCCUGGGCUUGAGCCCAGCUUCUUCCAGUCUCUUGCUGUGUGACCUCACAUAUAUAUCUCUUCUUUGGUAGAACAGAUAUGUCCAUGCUUCCCUUGCAGGGAGUGUAGACUGAAAUUAUAAAUUCUAUAAACCAUUUAGCACACAACUGAACACAUGAUAGCUAUUAUUAUAAGGAUUUUAGAAUAUCUUACAUAUUCUCCUCUCUACUGCCCAAUAUGAAGCCAAAACAAAUCUGUGAGGGCUGGGAAUUCUAAGAUGUCUGGUGUAGGCAGGGGUUAGGUGUGAGACAGAUUUGAGUAGAUCACUGUAAUGACUGUGCAUUAUUCUAAUGUAUGCAAGAUAGGGAGGUGGCUCAAUGUGUUCUUUGGAAAGCCACCAGGGUUGAUGUAUGAAGACCAAGUUAGAGAUGCAUAGGGAUAGAAGCAAAGAAACUGGUUAGGAGGUUAUUAUAGUAAUCCUGGUGAAAGAUGAUGGAGGGUUAGAGUAAGACAGUGGCAAGAGGGAUGAAGAGACAUAUUCUAAUGAGAUGAAUUCUGAAAGCAGCAUGGGGAGGGACUAUGGAUUCAUUGGGGGUGAGCAGGACAGGAGAGUGGGCUCCUGGGUGGAACAUGGGUCUGUUUAUUAACACUGGAGAAAGAUUUUGGAGAACAACUGAGAGUUGAGUUUUGGGCAAAUGAACCUAGAGAUUCUUGUGAAUCACUUAAGUGGAGAAAACACAAAGACAAUUAGGCGUAUUGUGAUGAACUUUCAAAGAAGAUUGGAUAGGUGAUAUAUAUUUGAUAGUUAUCUUCAUAGAAAUGGUAUGAAUCUGUGAGAACGGCCAAACUCACCUAGGUGAGAGUAGAAGGAAAGAUAAAGGGACUCAGGAUGCAUUCCUGCAGAAAACUCAAAAAGAUUGCUCUGUUUCUCAUUUCCCUCUAUGGACAAGGACUACAUUGUACAUAAAGGGCCUUCAAAAACUGCAUGGAAAAUGUGUAGGAAGUAUCACUAUGCUUCUAAAUCUGUGCAUAGGAAAUACAUGAAAUUUGUUCACCUUAUAUAAAUAAAAAAAUGAAAAAAAAUAAAAAGCUGUGCAUGAACCUCAAAAGUCUUUUGUACCAAAAUAAACUGAUGUUUUAAUUCAAUUUUUGCAUGAUAUUUUGUAGUACCCCAUAUACGCUUGGGAGCCUAGUGCCUGAACCACAGUGUGUAGUCAGUAAUGUUGAAUGAAUGAAUGAACCACUCAAUCAAUACUAAAGUAGGUGAAACUUCAAGAUGUGUCUCUGAUCGAAAUAUUCUAGACUGUGGGUGUCAGUGUGUGUUUCUGUUUCCUGUGUCGCAGGAGUAGAGAAUUUGGGAAGGACUCAACUCCUAAAGA
Oryctolagus cuniculus (rabbit) is the source of this 9496-nucleotide non-coding RNA. NCBI's taxonomy places the organism in Eukaryota, Metazoa, Chordata, Mammalia, Lagomorpha, Leporidae. The record is from RefSeq and is a predicted model, not a curated record.